UACGUAGGGAGCAAGCGUUGUUCGGAUUUACUGGGCGUAAAGGGCGCGUAGGCGGCAAAUUAAGUCAGCUGUGAAAUCUCCGAGCUUAACUCGGAACGGUCAGCUGAUACUGAUCUGCUAGAGUGCGGAAGGGGCAAUCGGAAUUCUUGGUGUAGCGGUGAAAUGCGUAGAUAUCAGGAGGAACACCGGUGGCGAAGGCGGAUCUCUGGGCCAUUACUGACGCUGAGGAGCGAAAGCCAGGGGAGCAAACGGG
Molecule: ribosomal RNA, 253 nt
Filed under: uncultured bacterium
Lineage: Bacteria
Description: partial 16S ribosomal RNA
Rfam family: Bacterial small subunit ribosomal RNA
Source: RNAcentral